This 120-nucleotide ribosomal RNA is filed under the name uncultured bacterium. RNAcentral describes it as "partial 16S ribosomal RNA". It matches the Rfam family "Bacterial small subunit ribosomal RNA", at positions 215 to 334 of the family's 1533-position model. The record is from RNAcentral.
UCGCCAAAAGAUGAGUCCGCGUCCGAUUAGCUAGUUGGUGAGGUAACGGCUCACCAAGGCGACGAUCGGUAGCUGGUCUGAGAGGACGAUCAGCCACACUGGGACUGAGACACGGCCCAG